RNAcentral lists this long non-coding RNA (990 nucleotides) under Homo sapiens (human). Its description in RNAcentral is "HSALNT0322070". The record is from RNAcentral. Lineage: Eukaryota; Metazoa; Chordata; Mammalia; Primates; Hominidae.
UAGAGAAGGGAAAAAUGAAGCAAAGAACAGGACUCAGGGACACAGUCAACAUGAUGGCCUGCAGAAAAAUUUAGCAACUGGAAAAUCCCUUUUGGCAAGAAAAUGAACUCUUUUAGAAAGGAACAGGAAGUCUAACAUCUUUUAACUUAAUUCCAUGUAAUUCUUUUUACCAAUUCAAAUUCAUAAAAUUUCUACACACACACAUAGACACACGCAAUGCAUUCCAAGAAAAGUAUUUCGGGAAAUCAAGGAAAAGGGACUAGGUUCCAUGGAUGGAUUAGCUUAGGGCCAAUAGAACCACUGCAGAAGAUGGCACAAAUGAAUUUGAGAGUCCUCAGGAACAUAUGACCAUAAGAACAUAAGCCUCAUUUAAUUCACAGAUAUAUUGGUAGAGGCUUCAGUUGACCUUUCCACAUUAUAAGAGUUACAGUGUUUACGCUAAUUUUAUUUAAAUCCCAAAGGAUGAAGUGAUCUUACCAAGGACCUGAGUUAUACCUAAACAAAGAAGAAGCAAAAACAUCUAAGAGAGAGAAGCCCAAUUAGGAGGGCUGAUGAAGAACAGGAUUCUGGGCAGGAAGAGGGUACUAUCAUGGAAGUCAGCAAAUAGGCACGUGGAAUAAGCCAGGCCAAUAUCAAAGCCAAGAAGUCCACAGAUAAGAAGCAAAUUCAAGUUCCAAGUACAGAGACAGUUGUAGUACAGUAAUUCAAAAUAUAGCAUCUGGACCAGGCAAGAUGGCUCAUGCCUGUAAUCCCAGCAUCUUGGGAGGCCAAGGUGGGAAGAUCACUUGAAACCAGAAGCUCAAGACCAGCCUGGGUAAAAUGAGGGCAAGCACUGAGGAUCUGGAUAAGAGAAGAAUUGGUAGGAAAACUCUUCGGUGUGCCCAAGCAUCUCCAAAAUGUUUUUUCAAAAGACAGGUGGACUUUAGCCCCUAAGAAGAAUCUGAUGCAGUCAAUCUGGGUACCAGCUUGGCCACAGUGGGGUAGAGCAAC